This 515-nucleotide ribosomal RNA is filed under the name uncultured bacterium. RNAcentral describes it as "bacterial SSU rRNA". It matches the Rfam family "Bacterial small subunit ribosomal RNA", at positions 798 to 1317 of the family's 1533-position model. The record is from RNAcentral.
CACGGUAAACGAUGGAUGCCCGCUGUUUGCGAUAUACUGUGAGCGGCCAAGAGAAAUCGUUAAGCAUCCCACCUGGGGAGUACGCCGGCAACGGUGAAACUCAAAGGAAUUGACGGGGGCCCGCACAAGCGGAGGAACAUGUGGUUUAAUUCGAUGAUACGCGAGGAACCUUACCCGGGCUUGAACUGCCAGCGAACGAUUCAGAGAUGAUGAGGUCCUUCGGGACGCUGGUGGAGGUGCUGCAUGGUUGUCGUCAGCCCGUGCCGUGAGGUGUCGGCUUAAGUGCCAUAACGAGCGCAACCCUUUUCUUUAGUUGCCAUCAGGUAAUGCUGGGCACUCUGGAGAUACUGCCACCGUAAGGUGUGAGGAAGGUGGGGAUGACGUCAAAUCAGCACGGCCCUUACGUCCGGGGCUACACACGUGUUACAAUGGGGGGUACAGAGAGUCGGAUAUACGCAAGUAUGUUCUAAUCCUUAAAGCCUUCCUCAGUUCGGAUUGGGGUCUGCAACCCGACC